This 475-nucleotide ribosomal RNA is filed under the name uncultured bacterium. RNAcentral describes it as "bacterial SSU rRNA". It matches the Rfam family "Bacterial small subunit ribosomal RNA", at positions 28 to 531 of the family's 1533-position model. The record is from RNAcentral.
GAUGAACGCUGGCGGCGUGCCUAACACAUGCAAGUCGAGCGAUUCUCUUCGGAGAAGAGCGGCGGACGGGUGAGUAACGCGUGGGUAACCUGCCCUGUACACACGGAUAACAUACCGAAAGGUAUGCUAAUACGGGAUAAUAUGCUUUUAUCGCAUGGUAGAAGUAUCAAAGCUUUUGCGGUACAGGAUGGACCCGCGUCUGAUUAGCUAGUUGGUAAGGUAACGGCUUACCAAGGCGACGAUCAGUAGCCGACCUGAGAGGGUGAUCGGCCACAUUGGAACUGAGACACGGUCCAAACUCCUACGGGAGGCAGCAGUGGGGAAUAUUGCACAAUGGGCGAAAGCCUGAUGCAGCAACGCCGCGUGAGCGAUGAAGGCCUUCGGGUCGUAAGCUCUGUCUCAAGAAGAUAAUAGACGGUACUUGAGGAGGAAGCCCGGCUAACUACGUGCCAGCAGCCGCGGUAAGAGUAGUACA